GUGGGGAAUUUUGGACAAUGGGCGAAAGCCUGAUCCAGCCAUGCCGCGUGCAGGAUGAAGGCCUUCGGGUUGUAAACUGCUUUUGUACGGAACGAAACGGUCCUGGUUAAUACCUGGGGCUAAUGACGGUACCGUAAGAAUAAGCACCGGCUAACUACGUGCCAGCAGCCGCGGUAAUACGUAGGGUGCGAGCGUUAAUCGGAAUUACUGGGCGUAAAGCGUGCGCAGGCGGUGCUGUAAGACAGGCGUGAAAUCCCCGGGCUCAACCUGGGAAUUGCGCUUGUGACUGCAGUGCUGGAGUACGGCAGAGGGGGAUGGAAUUCCGCGUGUAGCAGUGAAAUGCGUAGAUAUGCGGAGGAACACCGAUGGCGAAGGCAGUCCCCUGGGCCUGUACUGACGCUCAUGCACGAAAGCGUGGGGAGCAAACAGGAUUAGAUACCCCGGUAGUCC
Molecule: ribosomal RNA, 450 nt
Filed under: uncultured bacterium
Lineage: Bacteria
Description: bacterial SSU rRNA
Rfam family: Bacterial small subunit ribosomal RNA
Source: RNAcentral